ACAAGUAACAGAAUUUCCAGCUAAAAGUGUCCUAAACGAGGAAGACGCUUCUGGCGUCAGGGGGAAGGAAGCCGGGCCGGCUGCCAGCCGCGGAGGCCUGCGCAGUCUCAGCUCUCUACUCCACCACGCUGGGCUUGUUGGCUUUUGUCUGUGAGCGUCCCCUCCGGCCACUGCUCUGAGGCUGUGUCCUCACACCACUGUGACCAAAGGCGGGCAGUGGCUCCCCUUCCAUCGCCCCUUGAACAGGGACGGAAAGCCAUUCUGAGACGCUCGCCGUCACCCCCUCAGCAGACUAACUCUCUUGCUGCUCCCAUUGGCAAGUGACUAGCGCUGGCCCUGGAGAACUGGGGCGGAGUGGGUGUCAGCCUCUACAGUGAGAGGGAAGUUUCAUAGAAGAAAAAACUGGAAUAGAAAUAGACAGGAAGAAAACACUAAGUGACGAAAACAAAAAUAUGAGCUGAGAAAGAAAAAUGAUGAAUUCUGCACGGAAGUGAUGUGAAAGCACAUGCAAGACAUCUCAGAGGGAAAACAGAUGCCCUUACCUUUUGUCCAAACGGAAAAAACUCACAUGGCGGAGUGUCUGUGGGCACCGAGACCAUGGCUCACUGGGUCGGUGAUGUGAGUGACAGCGUCUGGAACCAGCAGGCUGCCUGCCAAGAGCCACUGGCUGUGAAUUAAGAGGGAGCAACUCCAGAGCCGACUCAGGGCUAAACUACCAUCUGCAUCACCAAAGAAAAAGGAGAAACCCAGGCAACGGUGGCAAGUCGUUUGCCCAAGAAGACCACCUCCAACUCCCACGGAAGCCAUCGGUGCCAUCGCAGAGCAUGGACACGAACUGAUCCUCUUCUCUAUUUCAUGGACUGCCCAUUUUUUUCAACAUGGCUUCUGUAUGUAGAUUCCAGGGGAGUAGCAUAUAUUUAAAAUAGCUAAAGUUCUGGUUAAA
This is a long non-coding RNA of Myotis myotis, 943 nucleotides long. RefSeq lists it as uncharacterized. NCBI's taxonomy places the organism in Eukaryota, Metazoa, Chordata, Mammalia, Chiroptera, Vespertilionidae. The record is from RefSeq and is a predicted model, not a curated record. The transcript is spliced from 4 exons.